Molecule: ribosomal RNA, 775 nt
Filed under: uncultured Neocallimastigales
Lineage: Eukaryota; Fungi; Neocallimastigomycota; Neocallimastigomycetes; Neocallimastigales
Description: partial large subunit ribosomal RNA
Rfam family: Eukaryotic large subunit ribosomal RNA
Source: RNAcentral
AGAGAGAGACAUGCGCGCAUAUCAAUAAGCGGAGGAAAAGAAACUAACAAGGAUUCCCCUAGUAACGGCGAGUGAAGCGGGAAGAGCUCAAAUUUGAAAUCUUAAAGGGUUUCCCUUUACGAAUUGUAGUUUAAAGAAGUGUUUUCUGUUGAGGUUUUGGUAAAAGUUCUUUGGAAUAGGACAUCAUAGAGGGUGAGAAUCCCGUAUUUGACCUUUACUUUCAACUUUGUGAUACACUUUCAAAGAGUCGGAUUGUUUGGGAAUGCAGUCCAAAAUGGGUGGUAAAUUUCAUCUAAAGCUAAAUAUUGGCGAGAGACCGAUAGCGAACAAGUACCGUGAGGGAAAGAUGAAAAGAACUUUGAAAAGAGAGUUAAACAGUACGUGAAAUUGUCAAAAGGGAAGCGUUUGACACCAGUGUUGUUUUUCUGAAAAUCAAUUAAAGAACUGUUUAUGCUAAGUUGUUUAGACUUUAUCAGCUAUCUGUUUAGUUUUGAGCUUUUCUUUAAUGCACUUUUCAGUUAACAAGUCAACAUCAAUUUCUUUUGCCUGUAAAAAAGCUUGAGGAAGGUGGCUUGAGAUUCGUCUUAAGUGUUUAUAGCCUCUUGCCUACGCAGUCGGAGAGAUUGAGGUCUGCAGCGUAGAUCCUUCGGGGCUAAAUGCAUUUGUGCUAAGUUAUAGCAUUUUAUAGACAACUUGUUGACUAUGAUUUGUCUUGUAGCUUACUCGCUUAUGUUAUUUUACCUACGCUUAGGAUGUUGAGCGCAUGUCUCUCUCU